AUUGAACGCUGGCGGCAGGCCUAACACAUGCAAGUCGAGCGGAUGAAGGGAGCUUGCUCCUGGAUUCAGCGGCGGACGGGUGAGUAAUGCCUAGGAAUCUGCCUGGUAGUGGGGGAUAACGUCCGGAAACGGGCGCUAAUACCGCAUACGUCCUGAGGGAGAAAGUGGGGGAUCUUCGGACCUCACGCUAUCAGAUGAGCCUAGGUCGGAUUAGCUAGUUGGUGGGGUAAAGGCCUACCAAGGCGACGAUCCGUAACUGGUCUGAGAGGAUGAUCAGUCACACUGGAACUGAGACACGGUCCAGACUCCUACGGGAGGCAGCAGUGGGGAAUAUUGGACAAAGGGCGAAAGCCUGAUCCAGCCAUGCCGCGUGUGUGAAGAAGGUCUUCGGAUUGUAAAGCACUUUAAGUUGGGAGGAAGGGCAGUAAGUUAAUACCUUGCUGUUUUGACGUUACCAACAGAAUAAGCACCGGCCAACUUCGUG
Molecule: ribosomal RNA, 484 nt
Filed under: uncultured bacterium
Lineage: Bacteria
Description: partial 16S ribosomal RNA
Rfam family: Bacterial small subunit ribosomal RNA
Source: RNAcentral